This 497-nucleotide ribosomal RNA is filed under the name uncultured bacterium. RNAcentral's name for it is "partial 16S ribosomal RNA". It matches the Rfam family "Bacterial small subunit ribosomal RNA", at positions 28 to 507 of the family's 1533-position model. The record is from RNAcentral.
GAUGAACGCUGGCGGCGUGCCUAAUACAUGCAAGUCGAGCGAACGGACGAGAAGCUUGCUUCUCUGAUGUUAGCGGCGGACGGGUGAGUAACACGUGGAUAACCUACCUAUAAGACUGGGAUAACUUCGGGAAACCGGAGCUAAUACCGGAUGAUAUUUUGAACCGCAUGGUUCAAAAGUGAAAGACGGUCUUGCUGUCACUUAUAGAUGGAUCCGCGCUGCAUUAGCUAGUUGGUAAGGUAACGGCUUACCAAGGCAACGAUGCAUAGCCGACCUGAGAGGGUGAUCGGCCACACUGGAACUGAGACACGGUCCAGACUCCUACGGGAGGCAGAAGUAGGGAAUCUUCCGCAAUGGGCGAAAGCCUGAAGGAGAAACGCCGCGUGAGUGAUGAAGGUCUUCGGAUCGUAAAACUCUGUUAUUAGGGAAGAACAUAUGUGUAAGUAACUGUGCACAUCUUGACGGUACCUAAUCAGAAAGCCACGGCUAACUACGUG